GACGAACGCUGGCGGCGCGCCUAACACAUGCAAGUCGAACGAGCGAGAGAGAGCUUGCUUUCUCGAGCGAGUGGCGAACGGGUGAGUAACGCGUGAGGAACCUGCCUCAAAGAUGGGGACAACAGUUGGAAACUACUGCUAAUACCGCAUAAGCCCACGGCUCGGCAUCGAGCAGGGGGAAAAGGAGCAAUCCGCUUUGAGAUGGCCUCGCGUCCGAUUAGCUAGUUGGUGGGGUAACGGCCCACCAAGGCGACGAUCGGUAGCCGGACUGAGAGGUUGAACGGCCACAUUGGGACUGAGACACGGCCCAGACUCCUACGGGAGGAAGCAGUGGGGAAUAUUGCACAAUGGGGGAAACCCUGAUGCAGCGACGCCGCGUGGAGGAAGAAGGUCUUCGGAUUGUAAAAUCCUGUUGUUGGGGAAGAUAAUGACGGUACCAAACAAGGAAGUGACGGCUAACUACGUG
RNAcentral lists this ribosomal RNA (466 nucleotides) under uncultured bacterium. RNAcentral describes it as "partial 16S ribosomal RNA". It matches the Rfam family "Bacterial small subunit ribosomal RNA", at positions 28 to 507 of the family's 1533-position model. The record is from RNAcentral.